AAAUUAUUAUUAUACAAAUUAAAAUAACCAAACUUUCAGAAAAAAAACCCUAAACUCCAAAAAUAGUUUAUAACUACGUAAUUUUCUAAUGCUUAAUUAUAUAACACUUUUUUGGUAUAUGCCAAACUCAUUUUCUACUAACUACUUAAAUGAGAGUAAUCAAAUAAAUUGAUUUUUAUGUAGAUUGAAGCACAAAGUUAGAAGACUUAAAUUCCAUCAAGGGCUCCAUGUUAGAAGUGCGAGCAUAAUUUGCAUGCAUAAACCAACGUUGACUUACUUGGUGGAGAGUGUAAUAUGUUGACAUUUCUAUCAAGUUUCGAGGAAUACUGCUUAUGAAGACAAUAAUGGUUUCCGCGUGGGUCAUAGGCUUCUCAUGGCA
This 379-nucleotide long non-coding RNA is filed under the name Gossypium barbadense (sea-island cotton). RNAcentral describes it as "long non-coding RNA (GBAR_LNC007910)". The record is from RNAcentral. Lineage: Eukaryota; Viridiplantae; Streptophyta; Magnoliopsida; Malvales; Malvaceae.